CAGUCGCCACGGUAAUACGAAGGGGGCUAGCGUUGUUCGGAAUCACUGGGCGUAAAGGGUGCGUAGGCGGAUUCUUAAGUCAGGGGUGAAAUCCCGAGGCUCAACCUCGGAACUGCCUUUGAUACUGGGGAUCUUGAGUCCGGAAGAGGUGAGUGGAACUGCGAGUGUAGAGGUGAAAUUCGUAGAUAUUCGCAAGAACACCGGUGGCGAAGGCGGCUCACUGGUCCGGAACUGACGCUGAGGCACGACAGCGUGGGGAGCAAACAGGAUUAGAUACCCCGGUAGUCCCUGUCUCUGAUAA
RNAcentral lists this ribosomal RNA (301 nucleotides) under uncultured bacterium. RNAcentral describes it as "partial 16S ribosomal RNA". It matches the Rfam family "Bacterial small subunit ribosomal RNA", at positions 509 to 809 of the family's 1533-position model. The record is from RNAcentral.